AGUGGGGUCGCGGGAGCGUGAAGGGGCCACUGAGAAGGUUUCUUUUUUCUUAUCUGAUCUUGAAUGACCAGACCUUAAUUGGUGUCAGGACGAGGUCCUUCCCCUAUCUCUGAUGUAAUCGGUUUCAGCUCAGGUUAGGAUGAGGUUCUCCUUCUGUUCCUAAUUGGACUGCGGGGGCACAUAUGGGCAUUGCAGGACCUCUCCCCCCAUCCGGUCUAAAGGUAACCGGGCCUUCGCCUUUGCUCAUGUUAGGGCGAGGUUCUCC
This 265-nucleotide long non-coding RNA is filed under the name Elaeis guineensis (African oil palm). RNAcentral describes it as "long non-coding RNA (EGUI_LNC022022)". The record is from RNAcentral. Lineage: Eukaryota; Viridiplantae; Streptophyta; Magnoliopsida; Arecales; Arecaceae.